AUUGAACGCUAGCGGGAUGCCUUACACAUGCAAGUCGAACGGAGUGGCGAACGGGUGAGUAAUGUAUCGGAACGUGCCCAGUCGCGGGGGAUAACUACGCGAACGCGUAGCUAAUACCGCAUACUAUCGGCGUGGCCGAUAUCGGGUUAGAUUGUUGGUGGGGUAACGGAUCACCAAGGCGACGAUCCGUAGCUGGUUUGAGAGGACGACCAGCCACACUAGGAUUGAGACGAGGCCCAGACUCCUACGGGAGGCAGCAGUGGGGAAUUUUGGACAAGGGGGGAAACCCUGGUCCAGCCAUGCCGCGUAGAUGAAGAAGGCCAUCGGGUUGUAAAGUACUUUCAGCGAGGAGGCGUUACUCGCAGAAGAAGCACCGGCUAACUCCGUGCCAGCAGCCGCGGUAAUAC
RNAcentral lists this ribosomal RNA (407 nucleotides) under uncultured bacterium. RNAcentral's name for it is "partial 16S ribosomal RNA". It matches the Rfam family "Bacterial small subunit ribosomal RNA", at positions 30 to 526 of the family's 1533-position model. The record is from RNAcentral.